Mus pahari (shrew mouse) is the source of this 108-nucleotide small nuclear RNA. Lineage: Eukaryota; Metazoa; Chordata; Mammalia; Rodentia; Muridae. The record is from RefSeq and is a predicted model, not a curated record.
GUGCUCACUUCGGCAGCACGUAUACUAAAAAUUGGAACGAUACAGAGAAGAUUAGCAUUGCCGCUGCGCAAGAAUGAUACGCAAAAAAAAGAGAGAUUGUUGAAGUAG